AUGUAAAGGGCAGCUCGGGCUGCGCGGUUUAGUCAUCGUUCUCGUUCUCGUUCAUAGUUCACAGCUCAGGCUCUGUAGCGAGCACCAAGUACUACAGUUCUUUUGGGACUCGUUCUUAUGAAUGGUUCGUUUGUUCACUUGUCACAUGACAGCAGAUCCGCGCAGGCUCUGUAGCGAGCAAGACGAGCUCCAAUUCGUUCCUACCGCUACCAAGCGACUGUCGGGCUGUUAAACGACAAUAGCAGGGAAGAAGCAUGAUAAGUCACGUUAAUGUGGAUUCAGCCAUUAAACCAGAUGACCAGAUCCUGAUAAUAGUCAUCAAAAGAAAGAACUGGUCCCAUCCACGGUUGGAAGACCCCUACACUGUCCGACUCACCACACCCACUGCAGUGAAGAUAACUGAAACUGCAAAAGAGUGAUUCCCCUGGUUGGCACUAAGUAGGGGUGGAAGUCGACCGGUAUGAAACCUUUGGUCGCCGUAGAAACCAGCUGAUCCCCUCUCCCAGCUAUGGCUGGGUCUGGAAAGACCUGGAGGCUGAGCACUUACACCCAUUUGAGACCAAUGUGUGGUAUCGUUAUGUUAAAGUUUUAGCCAAAUCCAAAAAUAGGUCUAACUGCUGUGUAAUCAUGCAUACAUUGAAAAUAGACUAAGUGAUGUAUUGCCGAUGCUUCAUAGUAAAUCCUUAUAAUGACAAAUGGGGAAAUGUUAGAGUAAAUAUGAUUUGCUGACUGAUUUAUGAUUUUGUUAUUAUGAUGUUACCCCACUCACAAUGUUGAUUUAUUGUUUGUUACUUUUUGUCAUUAUGAAGGAUAUAUGUGCUCAAUAUUUAAUCCUGUCAGAAACAAAAACAUGUUUAAGUUGCUGGAGCUGCACCCUGCACACAGACAUAGAAACAGGAAGUGGUUGGGACUGCUGACUUUUGCUGGGUUAACUGAAAGGCCGGAGAAAGGUUAGCAGUCUUAGGGUUGUGCAGUACAUGAUGAUAUACGUCUACGCUCAUGCUUAUCCAACUCAAUCAAGUGUUUUAUCCUUAUAUGGAAUUUUCUUGUUCUCAGUAUGAUCUUCAUGUAUUCAUUGAUUCCAUACACUUAUUUGAUGCAACUUCAAGGCGUGUCCCAUUUUCUAAUAAAAAAGUAGAGCUCGCCGGAGUCAGAGUUGACAUUUCCUAGGUAAAGCGCUUUACCUCAGACGGGCUCCCCUUGCAAGUAAAACAAAGUUGUAGCUUGUUGUGCUUUGUUGUCUUUGUCUCUCAGCGUAUGAAAAGUGUUGUGGCUACUUUAGACCCAUGUACGUCUAUAUAUUUUUUACAGUUUAAUCAAGACGUAAUUGUACAUUAAUUAAAAUUAAGAAUUAUGGAUUUAACAAUUAAAUUAACAAUUCUGAA
This is a long non-coding RNA of Betta splendens (Siamese fighting fish), 1385 nucleotides long. RefSeq lists it as uncharacterized. The transcript is spliced from 2 exons. The record is from RefSeq and is a predicted model, not a curated record. NCBI's taxonomy places the organism in Eukaryota, Metazoa, Chordata, Actinopteri, Anabantiformes, Osphronemidae.